AACGUACGCUGGCGGCACGCCUAACACAUGCAAGUCGAACGAAGUAGCAAUACUUAGUGGCAGACGGGUGAGUAACAUGUAGGUAUCUGCCCUUUGGCCUGGAAUAACACGAGGAAACUUGUGCUAAUACCGGAUAAGUCUUUACGGAGAAAGCUUUAUGCACCAUUGGAUGAGCCUGCACUUGAUUAGUUUGUUGGUGGGGUAAUGGCCUACCAAGACUGUGAUCAAUAGCUGAUUUGAGAGGAUGAUCAGCCACAUUGGGACUGAGACACGGCCCAAACUCCUACGGGAGGCAGCAGUGGGGAAUCUUGCACAAUGGAGGAAACUCUGAUGCAGCGAUGCCGCGUGAGUGAAGAAGGCCCUUGGGUUGUAAAGCUCUUUCGUCGGGGAAGAAAAUGACUGUACCCGAAUAAGAAGGUCCGGCUAACUUCGUGCCAGCAGCCGCGGUAAUACGAAGGGACCUAGCGUAGUUCGGAAUUACUGGGCUUAAAGAGUUCGUAGGUGGUUGAAAAAGUUAGUGGUGAAAUCCCAGAGCUUAACUCUGGAACUGCCAUUAAAACUUUUCAGCUAGAGUAUGAUAGAGGAAAGCAGAAUUUCUAGUGUAGAGGUGAAAUUCGUAGAUAUUAGAAAGAAUACCAAUUGCGAAGGCAGCUUUCUGGAUCAUUACUGACACUGAGGAACGAAAGCAUGGGUAGCGAAGAGGAUUAGAUACCCUCGUAGUCCAUGCCGUAAACGAUGUGUGUUAGACGUUGGAAAUUUAUUUUCAGUGUCGCAGGGAAACCGAUAAACACACCGCCUGGGGAGUACGACCGCAAGGUUAAAACUCAAAUGAAUUGACGGGGACCCGCACAAGUAGUGGAGCAUGUGGUUUAAUUCGAAGAUACGCGCAGAACCUUACCAACACUUGACAUGUUCGUCGCGACUCUAAGAGAUUAGAGUUUUCGGUUCGGCCGGACGAAACACAGGUGCUGCAUGGCUGUCGUCAGCUCGUGUCGUGAGAUGUUGGGUUAAGUCCCGCAACGAGCGCAACCCUCACUUUUAGUUGCCAUCAUUAAGUUGGGCACUCUGAAAGAACUGCCAGUGAUAAGCUGGAGGAAGGUGGGGAUGACGUCAAGUCCUCAUGGCCCUUACGUGUUGGGCUACACACGUGCUACAAUGGUAUCUACAACAGGAAGCAAGGCUGCGAAGUUAAGCAAAUCCCUAAAAGAUACCUCAGUUCGGAUUGCACUCUGCAACUCGAGUGCAUGAAGCUGGAAUUACUAGUAAUCGUGGAUCAGCGUGCCACGGUGAAUGCGUUCCCGGGUCU
Molecule: ribosomal RNA, 1306 nt
Filed under: uncultured bacterium
Lineage: Bacteria
Description: bacterial SSU rRNA
Rfam family: Bacterial small subunit ribosomal RNA
Source: RNAcentral